AACGAACGCUGGCGGCAGGCCUAACACAUGCGAGUCGAGCGAGAUCUUCGGGUCUAGCGGCGGACGGGUGAGUAACGCGUGGGUAUAUGCCUCUUGGUACGGAAUAGCCUCGGGAAACUGGGAGUAAUACCGUAUGUGCCCUUUGGGGGAAAGAUUUAUCGCCAAGAGAUUAGCCCGCGUUGGAUUAGGUAGUUGGUGGGGUAAUGGCCUACCAAGCCGACGAUCCAUAGCUGGUUUGAGAGGAUGAUCAGCCACACUGGGACUGAGACACGGCCCAGACUCCUACGGGAGGCAGCAGUGGGGAAUCUUAGACAAUGGGGGCAACCCUGAUCUAGCCAUGCCGCGUGAGUGAUGAAGGCCUUAGGGUUGUAAAGCUCUUUCAGCUGGGAAGAUAAUGACGGUACCAGCAGAAGAAGCCCCGGCUAACUCCGUG
Molecule: ribosomal RNA, 433 nt
Filed under: uncultured bacterium
Lineage: Bacteria
Description: partial 16S ribosomal RNA
Rfam family: Bacterial small subunit ribosomal RNA
Source: RNAcentral